Molecule: long non-coding RNA, 1533 nt
Organism: Schistocerca gregaria
Lineage: Eukaryota; Metazoa; Arthropoda; Insecta; Orthoptera; Acrididae
Exons: 5
Source: RefSeq, a predicted model, not a curated record
AUUUGACUUUGGCCUUCUACACUGAACAGUUGCACAAACAGGACCGAGUUGCUUCAAGCGGUUCUGGAAUAUCUUUCAGCAUAGAAAUAUUAAAUUUUAAAUUGCUUUGUAUAUCCAGGAGGACCGAGUCAGUUUGGCUUUUUUUUCUAACUCUACCAAAAGAGGGUAAUUUUGGUCUACACUGGAUUAGGAUCCAGAGAUGACUGAGUUGUUUUCUUAGUGGAAUGGUGCUAACGAUAUGCUUACCGAGGACUUCUUCGAUCCGGGUGCUGAUUCGUUUGAGAGAUCGACAUUUACUAAAUGGAUGUGUGUGUCAUUUUUGCUAUGACGACAAAUCGUGAUAAACGACGUCGGCCGGAUUGAUCGAAAGAGAUACGAAAUACGGCUCGGAGGUGAGUAAUCGUACCUCUCGAGUUUUAUGAUAGCAUGCUGCUCUAUGGUAUUGGUUCGAAUAGAACUCACGUUGGGUUCUUACGGAAUUUUGGAUAGUACCAAUCCUCUUUAGGAAAAACUAUACUGAGCAAAAAAAUGACAUCCUUCUACAGAGGCAUUUCUCUAUUCAAUAAACUAAUCAAACUUAACUCGAGUCAGAGUACAGCUCGUACGCUAUGGGAGAAACGUUCUAGAUUGAUACAUGAAUCGUUUAUAGGUGAUCAUCGACAAUAUCCGAAUUAACUUCAACGUAAGCGAUAAUCAAAACGUCGAGCCAGAUAAAGAACACUUACACAACACAACAUGGAGCUGAUUUUUUUGGAAAGAAACAAUGGUUCGACAUAUCGAGUAAAUGCUGGCCCUGCUUGUAGCAAAUGGUCAUAUUCAUCUAAAACCAAUAGAAAGUAAAACAGCGGGAAUCUACAUAAGCAUGUCCACCUUUCAAAACCUCGGAGAGCUAGUUCAGAACUGGAAAAAGCCACACUUGUCACACUAUCUGCAAAAAUGCCGUACAGAUCAGUGGACUGUCUAUCUUCAUCGUUAAGAAAUAACUCUUAGCUAUGACCAAUCUGUUCUGAAUUAUUUAAGUCUACUCAUGGUUUUUACAAUUUUGGACCAGAAGGAUGGCAGAUAAUACACUGUCCUUUGGAAAAGAGGCGAUGGAGACGAGAAGUGAUCGUUGAUGGCGAAAAUAAUUAAACUUUUCCAGACCCCUCACAUUUCGUAAAAAAACUAUAAUUUGAUAUUCUCGAUUUAUAACAUUUUAUAAAAAAUUAGAUCAAGCGGCUAUCCUCAUUACAAAUGAAGACCUACACAAUUAAAGCAGGCCCCCUUUGGUAGAUUGUAGUAAUUUCCACAUUUAUUGGCGUCUGAAAUUUAUAUUUUUCAAAGAGUUUUAUUGAAAUUUUUUCAAAAUACUGGAAUUUGAAAAGUGAGGACUCAAGUGGGUUUUAAACAACCAAGCCUGAGAUCAUUACUGUUUACGUCAUUCGCGAACUUUGUUUAUUAGUUUGCGGCGUAUUUAUUGUCGUGUGGCGCAUAGAUGUUCAUCCUUAAACAGACGAAGGCAACGACUUUUUUUAAAGCCCUGUUAAAACACAA